Molecule: long non-coding RNA, 1838 nt
Organism: Bos taurus (domestic cattle)
Lineage: Eukaryota; Metazoa; Chordata; Mammalia; Artiodactyla; Bovidae
Source: Ensembl
ACCAGCGAGGGUGUAUGGGGGCCUGGGGGCGCUAACGCCCUGGGCCUGUCUGCCCAGCACGCGGUCCCUUUGCUCCCUGUGCCCCAGCAGCACAGAAACCAUGAAGCACUGGCAGGUCCCCUAUGAGGUGCCAGCCUCAUCCACCUAAACUAAGGGUGGGCGUCCAAGCAUGGCUCCUGUGCCUACCAGGAAGGUGAACUAACUACCGGAAGUGCCAUCCUGACCUGCGGCCCCAAGCCUGGACAGCGUUUCCACCAGCUGGGGGUGGGGUGGGGGUGGGGAGCAAGGAGAGACUGGGAUGGGGAGGAGAAGGAAGACAACCCUCCGGACUGGAAGUUUGAAAUCCUCUCUUUAAAACACGAACUGGCGGGCUGGACUUCUUAUAUAACACUCCUUUAGUGACUGAAGCACUUGUCACAACCACCUUGGGGACCUAGCUUCAAUGUCCCCACUUUCAGGAAGUCAAGGUAUUUGCUCAGAUAGCACGUGGCUGAGCAGCGGCAGUAAAAUCAGAAUCCCCAUUUCCACUCUUAGACCAGUGAGCCCUCCUGCACCCACGACGGAGACUGAGGAGGAGAAAAAUAACCAGCCAUGCAAAAUCCAAAAAAAAAAAAAAAAUCCUUUCAAGAUUAUGAAAUCAAAGAGCAUUUUGUUGUUUCUUGGACGUUCUUCUUACUACUCUGAGGCCGCACAAUUCAACAGACAUCUCUUUAUUGUUGUUAAAGUACUUGCUCUAUCUCCUGCCUCUGUUACUAACUUUCACACCAACCGAGAACGCAAGCGUUUACCUGGGCUCCAUCCUUGGACGGCGAACGGGUCGCGCAGGCUUCCGGCCUCCUCCUCCCUGGGGUUUGGUUCCAAGGCUCCCGCAAAAUCUCGAAAUCACCCCGGAUCGGCGCGGCCACCGAGGGAAGCAGCCCGGCUCUGAACAAGCCCAGGCAAGCCCAGGCAGAGCCCGCUUCGCGGUCCUUCCUCCUGCGCGAACCACCCGGCCCCGGGGCGAGAGACGCGUCUCUCUGGCCCCAGAUCCGUGGAGUCGUCUCUCUCCAGAGGACCGGGCGCUGGCCCUCUCCUCCACCUGAGAAGGACAAGGGAGCAGGUCCCCGGAGGCACAGAUGCGGACGCGGCGAGGCGCCGGGCAGCCCGUGAGGUGGUGAGUCCUGUGAGAUACAUACCAGUACUACCCCAUUUCCAGGUGAGAAAGCUGAGGACCAGAAAGGUAAAACUUGGCCACCAUCACGAGGGGGAGAAUGAAGUGGAACCAGGACCCAUAUUCAUUCCUUUCUGACUCCCAAGCCUCACUCCUUAAGCAGCUGCAUCUGGCCUCAAUUUGGCAAAUUGCUUAGCCUCUCCACACCUUGGUGUUCUUGUGUGUACAGACAGCAUCAGGCUCACGGUAUGGACUCAAUAUAUGUUGGUGGAAUGAAUGAACGACCCCCACACCCCUCAAGGUGGUUGUAAAGACUGUAGUAAAUGGAGUUGCUGCACACAGCAGGCACUUCAUCAGCUUACCUAAGGAACCUCUGGAGCCCUGGGUCCAAGGAAGCUAUACUUCCCUGCUCCACACUUAUGGACGUUUGGGAGCAUUUCCAGCUGAGACCUCCACCCUCACUGGUCCUUUCUUCUCCCUUUCCUUUCAGAGCCACCGAAACGCCUUGACCUGGGCGGCUGACAGAUGAAGGAGUACAUUUGGGAGACUCCAGACUCCGAAACUCCUAUGUAUCCUGGCUCCUGGCUUGCCUCUUUGGAGCAGUCCCACAGAGCUAUCUGAGAGGUUAUGUCCUGGGCUUAAGUUCUUUAAAGAUGUCCGCCAAAUAAAACAAAACUCUCAGCUCUGA